GAUGAACGCUGGCGGCGUGCUUAACACAUGCAAGUCGAACGAAGCAUUUGCGACAGAUUUUUUCGGAAUGAAGUUGCUUAUGACUGAGUGGCGGACGGGUGAGUAACGCGUGGGUAACCUGCCUUGUACUGGGGGAUAGCAGCUGGAAACGGCUGGUAAUACCGCAUAAGCGGACAAUGUUGCAUGACAUGGUUUGAAAAACUUGGGAGAUAUAAGAUGGAGCCGCGUUGGAUUAGCGAGAUGGUGAUAUAACAGCCCACAAAUGCGACGAUCAAUAGCCGGCAGGAGAGUAUGAGCAGCAACAGUGGGACUGAGACACGGCCCAGACUCCUACGGGAGGCAGCAGUGGGGAAUAUUGGACAAUGGGCGAAAGCCUGAUCCAGCAAUGCCGAGUGAGUGAAGAAGGCCUUAGGGUUGUAAAGCUCGUUUACCCGAGAUGAUAAUGACAGUAGCGGGAGAAUAAGCUCCGGCUAACUCCGUG
RNAcentral lists this ribosomal RNA (481 nucleotides) under uncultured bacterium. Its description in RNAcentral is "partial 16S ribosomal RNA". It matches the Rfam family "Bacterial small subunit ribosomal RNA", at positions 28 to 507 of the family's 1533-position model. The record is from RNAcentral.